GCUGGGCGUGGUGGCAUAUGCCUGUAAUCCCAGCUACUUGGGAGGCUGAGGCAGGAGAAUCACUUGAGCCCAGGAGGUGUUGGUUGUACUGAGCCAAGAUUGUGCCACUGCAUUCCAGUCUGGGCAACAGAGUGAGACUCUGUCUCAA
Molecule: non-coding RNA, 148 nt
Filed under: Nomascus leucogenys (northern white-cheeked gibbon)
Lineage: Eukaryota; Metazoa; Chordata; Mammalia; Primates; Hylobatidae
Source: Rfam by way of RNAcentral